UGAGGAAUAUUGGUCAAUGGGCGAGAGCCUGAACCAGCCAAGUCGCGUGAAGGAAGACUGCCUUAUGGGUUGUAAACUUCUUUUAUACAGGAAUAAAAAGGCUUACGUGUAGGCCAUUGCAAGUACUGUAUGAAUAAGCAUCGGCUAACUCCGUGCCAGCAGCCGCGGUAAUACGGAGGAUGCGAGCGUUAUCCGGAUUUAUUGGGUUUAAAGGGUGCGCAGGCGGGCUUUUAAGUCAGCGGUGAAAUCUGGACGCUUAACGUCCAAACUGCCGUUGAAACUGGGAGUCUUGAGUAUGGAUGAAGUAGGCGGAAUUCGUUGUGUAGCGGUGACAUGCAUAGAUAUAACGAGGAACUCCGAUUGCGUAGGCAGCUUACUAAGCCAUAACUGACGCUCAUGCACGAAAGCGUGGGGAUCAAACAGGAUUAGAUACCCUGGUAGUCCACGCCGUAAAACGAUGAUUACUAGUUGUAUGCGAUAUGAUAGUAUGUGACUAAGCGAAAGCGAUAAGUAAUCCACCUGGGGAGUACGCCGGCAACGGUGAAACUUAAAGGAAUUGACGGGGUCAUAGCUG
This 574-nucleotide ribosomal RNA is filed under the name uncultured bacterium. RNAcentral's name for it is "partial 16S ribosomal RNA". It matches the Rfam family "Bacterial small subunit ribosomal RNA", at positions 355 to 932 of the family's 1533-position model. The record is from RNAcentral.